Molecule: ribosomal RNA, 371 nt
Filed under: uncultured bacterium
Lineage: Bacteria
Description: bacterial SSU rRNA
Rfam family: Bacterial small subunit ribosomal RNA
Source: RNAcentral
GUAGGGGGCGAGCGUUGUCCGGAAUUACUGGGUGUAAAGGGCGUGUAGGCGGGGAUGCAAGUUACCGGUAAAAACCCGUGGCUCAACCACGGGCUUGCCGAUAAAACUGCAUCUCUUGAGUGUAGGAGAGGGAAGUGGAAUUCCCGGAGUAGCGGUGAAAUGCGUAGAUACCGGGAGGAACACCAGUGGCGAAGGCGGCUUCCUGGCCUAUCACUGACGCUGAGGCGCGAAAGCUAGGGGAGCGAACGGGAUUAGAUACCCCGGUAGUCCUAGCCGUAAACGAUGGUCACUAGGUGUGGGUGGUGGUCAAGCCAUCCGUGCCGGAGCUAACGCAAUAAGUGACCCACCUGGGGAGUACGGCCGCAAGGUUG